UGAGGAAUAUUGGUCAAUGGUCGGGAGGACUGAACCAGCCAAGCCGCGUGAGGGAUGAAGGUCUUCGGAUCGUAAAGCUCUGUUGCAGGUCAGAAAAGAAGGGAAGAGGAAAUGCUUUUCUUUUGAUAGUAACCUGCCAGAAAGUCACGGCUAACUACGUGCC
RNAcentral lists this ribosomal RNA (163 nucleotides) under uncultured bacterium. Its description in RNAcentral is "partial 16S ribosomal RNA". It matches the Rfam family "Bacterial small subunit ribosomal RNA", at positions 355 to 509 of the family's 1533-position model. The record is from RNAcentral.